AUACGGAGGAUCCGAGCGUUAUCCGGAUUUAUUGGGUUUAAAGGGAGCGUAGGUGGACAGUUAAGUCAGUUGUGAAAGUUUGCGGCUCAACCGUAAAAUUGCAGUUGAUACUGGCUGUCUUGAGUACCGUAGAGGUGGGCGGAAUUCGUGGUGGAGCGGGGAAAUGCUUAGAUAUCACGAAGAACUCCGAUUGCGAAGGCAGCUCACUGGACUGCAACUGACACUGAUGCUCGAAAGUGUGGGUAUCAAACAGGAUUAGAUACCCUGGUAGUCCACACAGUAAACGAUGAAUACUCGCUGUUUGCGAUAUACAGUAAGCGGCCAAGCGAAAGCAUUAAGUAUUCCACCUGGGGAGUACGCCGGCAACGGUGAAACUCAAAGGAAUUGACGGGG
This 393-nucleotide ribosomal RNA is filed under the name uncultured bacterium. Its description in RNAcentral is "partial 16S ribosomal RNA". It matches the Rfam family "Bacterial small subunit ribosomal RNA", at positions 523 to 918 of the family's 1533-position model. The record is from RNAcentral.